AACGAACGCUGGCGGCAGGCUUAACACAUGCAAGUCGAGCGCGUAGCAAUACGAGCGGCAGACGGGUGAGUAACGCGUGGGAAUCUACCGUACCCUACGGAAUAGCUCUGGGAAACUGGAGGUAAUACCGUAUACGCCCUAACGGGGAAAGAUUUAUCGGGGUAUGAUGAGCCCGCGUUGGAUUAGCUAGUUGGUGGGGUAAAGGCCUACCAAGGCGACGAUCCAUGGCUGGGCUGAGAGGAUGAUCAGCCACAUUGGGACUGAGACACGGCCCAAACUCCUACGGGAGGCAGCAGUGGGGAAUAUUGGACAAUGGGCGCAAGCCUGAUCCAGCCAUGCCGCGUGAGUGAUGAAGGUCUUAGGAUUGUAAAGCUCUUUCACCGAUGAAGAUAAUGACGGUAGUCGGAGAAGAAGCCCCGGCUAACUUCGUGCCAGCCGCCGCCGUAA
This 447-nucleotide ribosomal RNA is filed under the name uncultured bacterium. Its description in RNAcentral is "partial 16S ribosomal RNA". It matches the Rfam family "Bacterial small subunit ribosomal RNA", at positions 29 to 523 of the family's 1533-position model. The record is from RNAcentral.